This 430-nucleotide ribosomal RNA is filed under the name Bacillus sp. B90(2008). RNAcentral's name for it is "bacterial SSU rRNA". It matches the Rfam family "Bacterial small subunit ribosomal RNA", at positions 66 to 479 of the family's 1533-position model. Lineage: Bacteria; Bacillati; Bacillota; Bacilli; Caryophanales; Bacillaceae. The record is from RNAcentral.
GCGAAUGACGAGGAGCUUGCUCCUCUGAYUUAGCGGCGGACGGGUGAGUAACACGUGGGUAACCUGCCUGUAAGACGGGGAUAACUCCGGGAAACCGGAGCUAAUACCGGAUGAUAACGAGAAGCGCCUGCUUCUUUUUUGAAAGUCGGUUUCGGCUGACGCUUACAGAUGGGCCCGCGGCGCAUUAGCUAGUUGGUGAGGUAACGGCUCACCAAGGCGACGAUGCGUAGCCGACCUGAGAGGGUGAUCGGCCACACUGGGACUGAGACACGGCCCAGACUCCUACGGGAGGCAGCAGUAGGGAAUCUUCGGCAAUGGACGAAAGUCUGACCGAGCAACGCCGCGUGAGCGAUGAAGGCCUUCGGGUCGUAAAGCUCUGUUGUCAGAGAAGAACAAGUACCGGAGUAACUGCCGGUACCUUGACGGUACC